Molecule: non-coding RNA, 373 nt
Organism: Poecilia reticulata (guppy)
Lineage: Eukaryota; Metazoa; Chordata; Actinopteri; Cyprinodontiformes; Poeciliidae
Source: RefSeq, a predicted model, not a curated record
GGAAAAGUUGGAGUUUGUGACGGAGCUGCUGCUGGAGACACUGGAUGAGCUUGAUGAGGGAGAGAUUGAAAAGUUUCAGACAAUUACUCAGAAUAAAAUUGACCAUCAGAGCGAAUAUAUACCGAUUUGGGAAACCAGAUUAAUAAAUGUGCGAUACAUUGUGGUGGUUUUUGUUCUGACUUUCUUCCACCAGUCAGUGGAGGCGACCAUGGAUGUCUUAAAGCAGAUGAAGAAGGAUGAUCUGGUAGAGAAGCUGUCAGGCAGAAGCUCAGGACCUAAAGAGAAACCUUCUGCAGGUCAGCAUCGUUCUGCUCUGAUCCACAAAGUGGCGACGAUGGCAGCUGUUAGACAGCAACUCCUGGAAACUCUGGGC